ACUUAUCAACUUCAUGCCUUGU
Molecule: microRNA, 22 nt
Filed under: Strongyloides ratti
Lineage: Eukaryota; Metazoa; Nematoda; Chromadorea; Rhabditida; Strongyloididae
Description: str-miR-184-5p
Gene: str-miR-184-5p
Source: miRBase by way of RNAcentral